CCGGAUGACACUCUUCCCUGCAUGGGGGAGGGUUGAAAGCUCCGGCGGUGAAGGAUGAGCCCGCGGCCUAUCAGCUUGUUGGUGGGGUAAUGGCCUACCAAGGCGACGACGGGUAGCCGGCCUGAGAGGGCGACCGGCCACACUGGGACUGAGACACGGCCCAGACUCCUACGGGAGGCAGCAGUGGGGAAUAUUGCACAAUGGGCGAAAGCCUGAUGCAGCGACGCCGCGUGAGGGAUGACGGCCUUCGGGUUGUAAACCUCUUUCAGCAGGGAAGAAGCGAAAGUGACGGUACCUGCAGAAGAAGCGCCGGCUAACUACGUGCCAGCAGCCGCGGUAAUACGUAGGGCGCAAGCGUUGUCCGGAAUUAUUGGGCGUAAAGAGCUCGUAGGCGGCUUGUCACGUCGGUUGUGAAAGCCCGGGGCUUAACCCCGGGUCUGCAGUCGAUACGGGCAGGCUAGAGUGUGGUAGGGGAGAUCGGAAUUCCUGGUGUAGCGGUGAAAUGCGCAGAUAUCAGGAGGAACACCGGUGGCGAAGGCGGAUCUCUGGGCCAUUACUGACGCUGAGGAGCGAAAGCGUGGGGAGCGAACAGGAUUAGAUACCCUGGUAGUCCACGCCGUAAACGUUGGGAACUAGGUGUUGGCGACAUUCCACGUCGUCGGUGCCGCAGCUAACGCAUUAAGUUCCCCGCCUGG
This 695-nucleotide ribosomal RNA is filed under the name Streptomyces sp. RNAcentral describes it as "bacterial SSU rRNA". It matches the Rfam family "Bacterial small subunit ribosomal RNA", at positions 169 to 876 of the family's 1533-position model. Lineage: Bacteria; Bacillati; Actinomycetota; Actinomycetes; Kitasatosporales; Streptomycetaceae. The record is from RNAcentral.